AACGAACGCUGGCGGCAUGCCUAACGCAUGCAAGUCGAACGAGACCUUCGGGUCUAGUGGCGCACGGGUGCGUAACGCGUGGGAACCUGCCCUUAGGUUCGGAAUAACUCCCCGAAAGGGGUGCUAAUACCGGAUAAUGUCUUCGGACCAAAGAUUUAUCGCCUUUGGAUGGGCCCGCGUUGGAUUAGCUAGUUGGUAGGGUAAAAGCCUACCAAGGCGACGAUCCAUAGCUGGUCUGAGAGGAUGAUCAGCCACACUGGGACUGAGACACGGCCAGACUCCUACGGGAGGCAGCAGUGGGGAAUAUUGGACAAUGGGCGAAAGCCUGAUCCAGCAAUGCCGCGUGAGUGAUGAAGGCCUUAGGGUUGUAAAGCUCUUUUACCCGGGAUGAUAAUGACAGUACCGGGAGAAUAAGCUCCGGCUAACUCCGUG
RNAcentral lists this ribosomal RNA (432 nucleotides) under uncultured bacterium. RNAcentral describes it as "partial 16S ribosomal RNA". It matches the Rfam family "Bacterial small subunit ribosomal RNA", at positions 29 to 507 of the family's 1533-position model. The record is from RNAcentral.